RNAcentral lists this transfer RNA (66 nucleotides) under Gastroptychus investigatoris. RNAcentral's name for it is "tRNA-Phe". The record is from RNAcentral. Lineage: Eukaryota; Metazoa; Arthropoda; Malacostraca; Decapoda; Chirostylidae.
UCUUUUAUAAUUUAAGAUAGAAUAUUGUACUGAAGCUACAAAAGAGGUAUAAAAUAUCUAAAAGAG